Molecule: ribosomal RNA, 432 nt
Filed under: uncultured bacterium
Lineage: Bacteria
Description: bacterial SSU rRNA
Rfam family: Bacterial small subunit ribosomal RNA
Source: RNAcentral
AACGAACGCUGGCGGCAGGCCUAACACAUGCAAGUCGAGCGAACCCUUCGGGGUUAGCGGCGGACGGGUUAGUAACGCGUGGGAAUAUACCCUUUGGUACGGAAUAGCCUCGGGAAACUGAGAGUAAUACCGUAUGUGCCCUUCGGGGAAAGAUUUAUCGCCAAAGGAUUAGCCCGCGUUGGAUUAGGUAGUUGGUGGGGUAAUGGCCUACCAAGCCUACGAUCCAUAGCUGGUUUGAGAGGAUGAUCAGCAACACUGGGACUGAGACACGGCCCAGACUCCUACGGGAGGCAGCAGUGGGGAAUCUUAGACAAUGGGCGCAAGCCUGAUCUAGCCAUGCCGCGUGGACGAUGAAGGCCUUAGGGUUGUAAAGUCCUUUCAGAUGGGAAGAUAAUGACGGUACCAUCAGAAGAAGCCCCGGCUAACUCCGUG